RNAcentral lists this ribosomal RNA (257 nucleotides) under Salmonella enterica. RNAcentral's name for it is "partial 16S ribosomal RNA". It matches the Rfam family "Bacterial small subunit ribosomal RNA", at positions 1 to 254 of the family's 1533-position model. The record is from RNAcentral. Lineage: Bacteria; Pseudomonadati; Pseudomonadota; Gammaproteobacteria; Enterobacterales; Enterobacteriaceae. RNAcentral also lists the same sequence under 1 other name.
AAAUUGAAGAGUUUGAUCAUGGCUCAGAUUGAACGCUGGCGGCAGGCCUAACACAUGCAAGUCGAACGGUAACAGGAAGCAGCUUGCUGCUUCGCUGACGAGUGGCGGACGGGUGAGUAAUGUCUGGGAAACUGCCUGAUGGAGGGGGAUAACUACUGGAAACGGUGGCUAAUACCGCAUAACGUCGCAAGACCAAAGAGGGGGACCUUCGGGCCUCUUGCCAUCAGAUGUGCCCAGAUGGGAUUAGCUGGUAGGUG